GAUGAACGCUGGCGGCGUGCCUAAUACAUGCAAGUCGAGCGAACAGAUGAGGAGCUUGCUCCUCUGACGUUAGCGGCUGACGGGUGAGUAACACGUGGAUAACCUACCUAUAAGACUGGGAUAACUUCGGGAAACCGGAGCUAAUACCGGAUAAUAUAUUGAACCGCAUGGUUCAAUAGUGAAAGACGGUUUUGCUGUCACUUAUAGAUGGAUCCGCGCCGCAUUAGCUAGUUGGUAAGGUAACGGCUUACCAAGGCAACGAUGCGUAGCCGACCUGAGAGGAUGAUCGGCCACACUGGAACUGAGACACGGUCCAGACUCCUACGGGAGGCAGCAGUAGGGAAUCUUCCGCAAUGGGCGAAAGCCUGACGGAGCAACGCCGCGUGAGUGAUGAAGGUCUUCGGAUCGUAAAACUCUGUUGUUAGGGAAGAAAAACUGUGUAAGUAACUAUGCACGUCUUGACGGUACCUAAUCAGAAAGCCACGGCUAACUACGUG
RNAcentral lists this ribosomal RNA (497 nucleotides) under uncultured bacterium. RNAcentral describes it as "partial 16S ribosomal RNA". It matches the Rfam family "Bacterial small subunit ribosomal RNA", at positions 28 to 507 of the family's 1533-position model. The record is from RNAcentral.